CAUUUUUCCUAGGAAUCCGUUGAAAUCCUCAUUUUCUACUUUUAACUCAAACCCCCCCAAGUGAUUUUUCCCUCUCCCCUGCAGAUUCAUGUCCCCCCUUCCCAGUUCCCCUUCUAGAACUUUCCUGAAGAGGAAACCCAUUUCUUUUGGGGGGAGGGGUUCCCCACUUUUUGUCUUCAGAUAAUGCAUGCUUAAUUCACCCCCUCCCUUCAUCCACCUCCCAAAAUGAAUAAAGGAAGCAGGAAUACAGUAACUAGCAAAGAUUGAGAAUAAACUAUGCUUCCCCUCGCAGUUUAAUACAGUUUUAACUAAUGGAAUUUUUUUGUUUUGUUUUAAGAGAAGAAUAAUGGGGAAACACGGAUCUUUUAUUUUAGGAAACUGUUAUGCCAGGGCGCCUGUCGGAUAACCUGGCGUUUGGGUUCCUAAUGGAGGACAACUCACCGCAACCCAGCGAUGCCGCCCUGACAACCCAAGUUCCCUCCUUUAGAGGUGGCUAGGGCAGUUCAUUGCAAAAGAAGAAGAAGAAAAAAAAGUUGAGUGAGGGAUAACCGGUUUCUAAAACAUU
Molecule: long non-coding RNA, 565 nt
Filed under: Physeter macrocephalus (sperm whale)
Lineage: Eukaryota; Metazoa; Chordata; Mammalia; Artiodactyla; Physeteridae
Description: Physeter catodon (sperm whale) lncRNA (ENSPCTG00005012164.1)
Source: RNAcentral